UACGGAGGGUGCGAGCGUUAAUCGGAAUUACUGGGCGUAGAGCGCACGCAGGCGGUUUGUUAAGCUAGAUGUGAAAGCCCCGGGCUCAACCUGGGAUGGUCAUUUAGAACUGGCAGACUAGAGUCUUGGAGAGGGGAGUGGAAUUCCAGGUGUAGCGGUGAAAUGCGUAGAUAUCUGGAGGAACAUCAGUGGCGAAGGCGACUCCCUGGCCAAAGACUGACGCUCAUGUGCGAAAGUGUGGGUAGCGAGCAGG
Molecule: ribosomal RNA, 253 nt
Filed under: uncultured bacterium
Lineage: Bacteria
Description: partial 16S ribosomal RNA
Rfam family: Bacterial small subunit ribosomal RNA
Source: RNAcentral